GAUGAACGCUGGCGGCGUGCCUAAUACAUGCAAGUCGAGCGAACAGACGAGGAGCUUGCUCCUCUGACGUUAGCGGCGGACGGGUGAGUAACACGUGGAUAACCUACCUAUAAGACUGGGAUAACUUCGGGAAACCGGAGCUAAUACCGGAUAAUAUAUUGAACCGCAUGGUUCAAUAGUGAAAGACGGUUUUGCUGUCACUUAUAGAUGGAUCCGCGCCGCAUUAGCUAGUUGGUAAGGUAACGGCUUACCAAGGCAACGAUGCGUAGCCGACCUGAGAGGGUGAUCGGCCACACUGUAACUGAGACACGGUCCAGACUCCUACGGGAGGCAGCAGUAGGGAAUCUUCCGCAAUGGGCGAAAGCCUGACGGAGCAACGCCGCGUGAGUGAUGAAGGUCUUCGGAUCGUAAAACUCUGUUAUUAGGGAAGAACAAAUGUGUAAGUAACUAUGCACGUCUUGACGGUACCUAAUCAGAAAGCCACGGCUAACUACGU
This 496-nucleotide ribosomal RNA is filed under the name uncultured bacterium. RNAcentral describes it as "partial 16S ribosomal RNA". It matches the Rfam family "Bacterial small subunit ribosomal RNA", at positions 28 to 506 of the family's 1533-position model. The record is from RNAcentral.